GUGGGGAAUAUUGGACAAUGGGCGAAAGCCUGAUCCAGCAAUGCCGCGUGAGUGAUGAAGGCCUUAGGGUUGUAAAGCUCUUUUACCAGGGAUGAUAAUGACAGUACCUGGAGAAUAAGCUCCGGCUAACUCCGUGCCAGUAGCCGCGGUAAUACGGAGGGAGCUAGCGUUGUUCGGAAUUACUGGGCGUAAAGCGCACGUAGGCGGUUACUCAAGUCAGAGGUGAAAGCCCGGGGCUCAACCCCGGAACUGCCUUUGAAACUAGGUAACUAGAAUCUUGGAGAGGUCAGUGGAAUUCCGAGUGUAGAGGUGAAAUUCGUAGAUAUUCGGAAGAACACCAGUGGCGAAGGCGACUGACUGGACAAGUAUUGACGCUGAGGUGCGAAAGCGUGGGGAGCAAACAGGAUUAGAUACCCCUGUAGUCC
This 425-nucleotide ribosomal RNA is filed under the name uncultured bacterium. RNAcentral's name for it is "partial 16S ribosomal RNA". It matches the Rfam family "Bacterial small subunit ribosomal RNA", at positions 354 to 796 of the family's 1533-position model. The record is from RNAcentral.